AGAAGAAGAAGAAGAAGAAUAUAAUAAAGAAGAUUAUUAAAGUUUUGGUGCGUGCGUGAAUGAAAAUUGAACGCGUUUACGUUGGCAGCAAUGGAAAUCUCGUUGGAAUGGAAUUUUUGACUGAAAUUGAAUUGAAUAAUGGAAAAAUGCCAAGGGGAGAAGGAAACUUAAAGGAAGGAUUGACUAUUCUAAAAUAUACUAGAAAAUUAAAUUAAAUUAAAAAAGUGUGAUGAAUUGAAGGUGUUUGUGUAAAUGUAAAGAUUUGAUGAAGGUGGUGGAGAGUGGAGGAAGGGGAGACAUGACGCUGACAUCAACUCUUUCGUCCCCGCCCACCUUGGCCUCGUCUGAGUUCGG
Molecule: unclassified non-coding RNA, 354 nt
Filed under: Hevea brasiliensis (rubber tree)
Lineage: Eukaryota; Viridiplantae; Streptophyta; Magnoliopsida; Malpighiales; Euphorbiaceae
Source: RNAcentral